RNAcentral lists this ribosomal RNA (492 nucleotides) under uncultured bacterium. RNAcentral's name for it is "partial 16S ribosomal RNA". It matches the Rfam family "Bacterial small subunit ribosomal RNA", at positions 29 to 507 of the family's 1533-position model. The record is from RNAcentral.
AGUGAACGCUGGCGGUAGGCCUAACACAUGCAAGUCGAACGGCAGCACAGUAAGAGCUUGCUCUUACGGGUGGCGAGUGGCGGACGGGUGAGGAAUACAUCGGAAUCUACUUUUUCGUGGGGGAUAACGUAGGGAAACUUACGCUAAUACCGCAUACGACCUACGGGUGAAAGCAGGGGAUCUUCGGACCUUGCGCGAUUGAAUGAGCCGAUGUCGGAUUAGCUAGUUGGCGGGGUAAAGGCCCACCAAGGCGACGAUCCGUAGCUGGUCUGAGAGGAUGAUCGGCCGCACUAGAGCUGGAACACGGUCCAGACGCCUACGGGAGGCAGCAGAGGGGAAUAUUGGGCAGUGGGCGCAAGUCUGAUCCAGCCAUACCGCGUGGGUGAAGGAGGCCUUCGGGUUGUGAAGCCCUUUUGUUGGGAAAGAAAAGCAGCAGGUUAAUACCCCGCUGUUCUGACGGUACCCAAAGAAUAAGCACCGGCUAACUUCGUG